RNAcentral lists this ribosomal RNA (200 nucleotides) under uncultured bacterium. Its description in RNAcentral is "partial 16S ribosomal RNA". It matches the Rfam family "Bacterial small subunit ribosomal RNA", at positions 8 to 208 of the family's 1533-position model. The record is from RNAcentral.
AGAGUUUGAUCCUGGCUCAGGACGAACGCUGGCGGCGUGCCUAAUACAUGCAAGUCGAACGGAUCUUCUCCUUCGGGAGAAGGUUAGUGGCGGACGGGUGAGUAACACGUAGGCAACCUGCCCAUAAGACUGGGAUAACAUUCGGAAACGAAUGCUAAGACCGGAUACGCAAGCUUGGGGCAUCUCGAGCUUGGGAAACA